This 908-nucleotide ribosomal RNA is filed under the name uncultured bacterium. Its description in RNAcentral is "bacterial SSU rRNA". It matches the Rfam family "Bacterial small subunit ribosomal RNA", at positions 1 to 901 of the family's 1533-position model. The record is from RNAcentral.
CCCUUAGAGUUUGAUCCUGGCUCAGGAUGAACGCUAGCUACAGGCUUAACACAUGCAAGUCGAGGGGAAACGACAUCGAAAGCUUGCUUUUGAUGGGCGUCGACCGGCGCACGGGUGAGUAACGCGUAUCCAACCUGCCCACCACUUGGGGAUAACCUUGCGAAAGUAAGACUAAUACCCAAUGACGUCUCUAGAAGACAUCUGAAGGAGAUUAAAGAUUUAUCGGUGAUGGAUGGGGAUGCGUCUGAUUAGCUUGUUGGCGGGGUAACGGCCCACCAAGGCGACGAUCAGUAGGGGUUCUGAGAGGAAGGUCCCCCACAUUGGAACUGAGACACGGUCCAAACUCCUACGGGAGGCAGCAGUGAGGAAUAUUGGUCAAUGGGCGAGAGCCUGAACCAGCCAAGUAGCGUGCAGGAUGACGGCCCUAUGGGUUGUAAACUGCUUUUAUAAGGGAAUAAAGUGAGUCUCGUGAGACUUUUUGCAUGUACCUUAUGAAUAAGGACCGGCUAAUUCCGUGCCAGCAGCCGCGGUAAUACGGAAGGUCCGGGCGUUAUCCGGAUUUAUUGGGUUUAAAGGGAGCGUAGGCCGGAGAUUAAGCGUGUUGUGAAAUGUAGACGCUCAACGUCUGCACUGCAGCGCGAACUGGUUUCCUUGAGUACGCACAAAGUGGGCGGAAUUCGUGGUGUAGCGGUGAAAUGCUUAGAUAUCACGAAGAACUCCGAUUGCGAAGGCAGCUCACUGGAGCGCAACUGACGCUGAAGCUCGAAAGUGCGGGUAUCGAACAGGAUUAGAUACCCUGGUAGUCCGCACGGUAAACGAUGGAUGCCCGCUGUUGGUCUGAAUAGGUCAGCGGCCAAGCGAAAGCAUUAAGCAUCCCACCUGGGGAGUACGCCGGCAACGGUGAAACU